UCCUGCUGUCCUGGUUCUGUUA
Molecule: non-coding RNA, 22 nt
Filed under: Rattus norvegicus (Norway rat)
Lineage: Eukaryota; Metazoa; Chordata; Mammalia; Rodentia; Muridae
Source: RNAcentral